CAGCAGCCGCGGGAAUACAGAGGGUGCAAGCGUUAAUCGGAAUUACUGGGCGUAAAGCGCGCGUAGGUGGUUUGUUAAGUUGGAUGUGAAAGCCCCGGGCUCAACCUGGGAACUGCAUCCAAAACUGGCAAGCUAGAGUACGGUAGAGGGUGGUGGAAUUUCCUGUGUAGCGGUGAAAUGCGUAGAUAUAGGAAGGAACACCAGUGGCGAAGGCGACCACCUGGACUGAUACUGACACUGAGGUGCGAAAGCGUGGGGAGCAAACAGGAUUAGAUACCCCAGUAGUCCCUGUCUCUUAUAC
Molecule: ribosomal RNA, 301 nt
Filed under: uncultured bacterium
Lineage: Bacteria
Description: partial 16S ribosomal RNA
Rfam family: Bacterial small subunit ribosomal RNA
Source: RNAcentral